This 104-nucleotide Y RNA is filed under the name Cebus imitator (Panamanian white-faced capuchin). RNAcentral describes it as "Y RNA (ENSCCAG00000001645.1)". It matches the Rfam family "Y RNA". Rfam says of the family: Y RNAs are components of the Ro ribonucleoprotein particle (Ro RNP), in association with Ro60 and La proteins. The record is from RNAcentral. Lineage: Eukaryota; Metazoa; Chordata; Mammalia; Primates; Cebidae.
GGCUGGUCUGAAGGUCAUGAGUUAUCUCAUCUGAUUGUUCAUAGUUACAGAUUGACUUGUUCACUCUUCCCUGCCUUCUUGCUACUGCACUUCACUAGUCUAAG